AACGAACGCUGGCGGCAGGCCUAACACAUGCAAGUCGAGCGCCCCGCAAGGGGAGCGGCGGACGGGUGAGUAACGCGUGGGAACGUGCCCUUUGCUACGGAAUAGCCCCGGGAAACUGGGAGUAAUACCGUAUAAGCCCUACGGGGGAAAGAUUUAUCGGCAAAGGAUCGGCCCGCGUUGGAUUAGGUAGUUGGUGGGGUAAUGGCCUACCAAGCCGACGAUCCAUAGCUGGUUUGAGAGGAUGAUCAGCCACACUGGGACUGAGACACGGCCCAGACUCCUACGGGAGGCAGCAGUGGGGAAUCUUAGACAAUGGGCGCAAGCCUGAUCUAGCCAUGCCGCGUGAGCGAUGAAGGCCUUAGGGUUGUAAAGCUCUUUCGUGGGGGAAGAUAAUGACUGUACCCCAAGAGGAAGCCCCGGCUAACUCCGUGCCAGCCGCCGCCGUAA
RNAcentral lists this ribosomal RNA (447 nucleotides) under uncultured bacterium. Its description in RNAcentral is "partial 16S ribosomal RNA". It matches the Rfam family "Bacterial small subunit ribosomal RNA", at positions 29 to 523 of the family's 1533-position model. The record is from RNAcentral.